Molecule: long non-coding RNA, 561 nt
Filed under: Mytilus galloprovincialis (Mediterranean mussel)
Lineage: Eukaryota; Metazoa; Mollusca; Bivalvia; Mytilida; Mytilidae
Source: RNAcentral
GGAAAUGGGGAAUGUGCCAAAGAGACAACAACCCGACCAUAGAAAAAAAAAAACAGCAGAAGGUCGCCAACAGGUCUUCAGUGUAGUAAGAAAUUCCCGCACCCGGAGGCGUCCUUCAGCUGGCCCCUAAACAAAUAUAUACUAGUUCAGUGAUAAUGAACGCCAUACUAAUUUCCAAAUUGUACACAAGAAACUAAAAUUAAAAUAAUACAAGACUAACAAAGGCCAGAGGCUCCUGACUUGGGACAGGCACAAAAAUGCGGCGGGGUUAAACACGUUUGUGAGAUCUCAACCCUCCCCCUAUACCUCUAGCCAAUGUAGAAAAGUAAACGUAUAACAAUACGCACAUUAAAAUUCAGUUCAAGAGAAAAAUGACAAUAAUACAUAAAUAACAACAGACUACUAGCAGUUAACUGACAUGCCAGCUCCAGACUUCAAUUAAACUGACUGAAAGAUUAUGAUUUCAUCAUAUGAACAUCAGGCACAAUCCUUCCCGUUAGGGGUUUAGUAUCAUACCAUCAUAACAUAUAUGAGAAGAACAUAACCCGUGUCAUGCCAACG